Long non-coding RNA from Equus asinus (donkey), 9350 nucleotides. The record is from Ensembl. NCBI's taxonomy places the organism in Eukaryota, Metazoa, Chordata, Mammalia, Perissodactyla, Equidae.
UUCAACUCUUUAUUUUAAAAUAAUUUUGACUUACAGAAAUGUCACAACAAUUAUACAAAAAUAUUUUAAUGUACCCUUCACCCAGAUUCCCCAAAUGUUAACAUUUUACUGGGUUUGAUUUAUCUCUCUCUCUCUCUCAGAUUAGAUAGGUGAUGGACAGAUAGAUGAUAGAUAGGUAGGUAGGUAGAUAGGUAGAUAGAGAUAGACAUAGAUACAUUACGGAUAUAGACAAAUAUCUUGUUUCUUCUGGUCAUUCAAGUCUCAGCUGAGAUGCCACCUCUAAAAAGUCCCCUUUCCUGGCCAUUUAACCCCUGUAGCUGUGGUCCCACUCUCUCAUACUCUUCUAAUUGCAGAUCCCAACAACACUGAUCUCCAGCUGGUGUUUUUCUUGGCUGUUUACUUACUGGUCACCUCUCUGCCUCCCCACUGGGAUGUCAGUUUUAUGGGAGAAUUGUCCCGUGUGCCUUCCCUGUUCACUGUUGAAUCCUCAAAACAUAGAACAAGGCCUGCACAGAAUGGGUGCCUAGUCACUGUUUGCUGAAUCGGUGAAUUGGGGACGUGCCCAUGUGGAGUCCACACAGGCACGUGGCGUAGUCUCUGUGCUCGAGGCGCAGAUGUUCCCCAGUGCCGCAGUAGCUGCAGCAUCCCCUCUCAUCAUGGAAACAUCUGCUGUAUCUUGUUUGAGGAGGGGAUGACUGAAGACACAGCUAGCAUUUUGGUGUAAAGCCUCUGAGAAAGAGAGAGAAAACUAUACAAACAUGCACACACACAGGAAGAGAGAGCAGGGCCAGCUUAGUGGUUUAGGCAUGGCUCCGGACCCCAGCUGCCUUAGUCACAUUCAGGUUCUGCCACUUAGUACUGUGUGACCUUGGGCGAAUUACUUAAACGCUCUGUGUCUCAGGUGCCUUAUGUGUAAUAUAUAGAUAAUAAAAAUAUCUUCUUCAUAGACGUUGCACGAUGAAAUGUAUGACUGUAUUUUAAAUGCUUAGAGCCAUGCCUGGCAUCCAGUAAGUGUUCAGUUAACCUCAGCGGAGUAUGUAAUUAUAUAAUUAAGUAAGAACAGGCAGUACAUGCUGUUUGAUAGCCUUUUUUCAUUUGGCAAAAUAUUCUGAAAAUUCCAUAUCAAUACACAUUCCUUUACCACAUGAUUAUUAAUGGCUAAUAUUUUUCCAUCAUAUAGAUGUACUGUAGCAACACAAGUUUCCUGGCAUACCACCAUUGCUGGAUAUUUGAGUUGCUUCCACUUUUUCUCUAUUACAAACAACAUUACGUUGAACACCCUUGGACAUAUAUCUUUGCACACAUCAGCAACUAUUCCUUCUUAUUGCGUUCCUAGAAGUGGAAUCGUUGGGUCAAAGGCUGUGCAUAUUUUCUGACCCAAGAUACAGAUUCCAAGUCCCUGAGACAGGUUGUCCCAGAAGAGGCGUUUCCUUGGGGAUCAAGUGCAGAGGCCAGGGUGGGUCCUAAUGUCAGCCAUUUCCACACUGCCUUCUCUCCCACGGCCAGCCAGGCUGCAGUCCAUGUGUCCUGAGGCCACCACAGAUUCCAGUUGUCCUGUUUACUAGGCUCUGGGCGGGAAAACAAGCUGGACAUUCUCUUCCAAGGACUGUCAGAGACCUUUGCCUUGAACUUCAUCUAAGAGAAUGAAGACAGCCACAUCCAACCUGCUGCUGUCUCACUGCUGGCCUUCCCUCUGACCUUGACUGUGACCCUGUGACCUUGACGGUGGCACUGUGACCUUAACUGUGACCCUGUGACCUUGACUGUGACACUCAGACCUUGACAGUGACCCUGUGUGGGCAAAGACCUCUGUACCCUUUCCUCUGACCUUGACAGUGAUACUCUGACUUUGACUGUGACCCUGUGACCUUGACUGUGAUGCUCUGACCUUGACUGUGACAUUGUGUGUGCAAAGGCCUCUGUACCCUUUCCUCUGUGCUUGAAAAUGGGGAAUGGCCUAACCUUGGCAAGGCUUCUCCAAGAUGGCAAAAUAAACUAUGGAAGCUGCUGUUUCCAAAAUGGGGGACCAGUAUCCCAUUCCCACAUAGCACCCCCAUCCAGGAGGGUGGAACCUCUGAAAGGGUAAGAGGAAAAGCCGAAAAUUUCACAGAAAGAGCCACGGCUCCAGGGCCACCAGGAAGGCAGCCCAGGGCACGUGUGGAGGGACUGCCACCAUGAACGAAGCAGGCAGGAGCACAUCUAGGUUUUGUCAGACGUGAAUAUAUGCAUUUUGAGGAGCUUUCUUUAAGAAAAGAACAUUACAAAUAUAAAACGCCCACGGCCAAUACAACUUACCCAACAGGGGAUGUGUGAUGGGGGGAGGGGGGAAGAAGGUGGCCAUCGUCACCCACUGAGGUUAAAAAUCUCACACCGUGCCAACUCUUCGAACAGCACCUGACCUGCGGGGGCGUUCCCAGGCCACUCUGGGAAGUGGCUCCAAAGCGUCGCUUGAUUAGCAUCGCCCUGUGAUUGGAACGUCUUGGAGCUGAAGGCCAGAGGCAGACUCUUGUCUAAACACCAUUCCGUAUAAACUCCCGCAUUCGGGGCGACCUCCACCCCACACGCUGAGACGGAAUUUCCUGCCAAAUGCAGGCGGGUGUGGCAAGCCAAAUUUAUUUGAUUUAGAAAUACAAGUAAAUAUGAUACUUCUUGCAGAGAAGUGUCCUAAAACAUCUUACUUAUACCAUACUCAGGGAAUACCUUUAUUUUUAAAAGACAAUCCAGCAACAUAUCCUGAGAAAAUUACUUCUCUUCCUGAGUCUGUUUUCCCAUCUCAGACAUGGGCAUGACAAACCCAGGCCCCGGCUCAGUGUGGGAAUGAAGUGAGCUACCACACAGAAGAUCCUGGCACGGGGACCAUUGUUUCUGUGCGUCUACUGGGUCCAGACCCUUGGGCCAGUGCAGGGAAGACAGAGGUGAUGCACCCCAGACCCUGUCCUCAGGCCUUCACAGUCGAACCUCCCUGAGGUCUACUGAAGAGGUUAGCUGUGCAAAACUGAGCUUUGCAAAGCAGGGAGGGGCCUGGCCUGGUGACUGUCAGCUCACAGACGAGAGAAGCUCACUCAGACUGAGGCCCGCAGGCCCAGGGAGGCCAGCCAGCUUUGGGAGCCGACGUGGCGAGGUGGUCAGCCAGGGGUGGGUCCGAGUGCCAGCCUGCCUUGCUGUGUCUUCUGCGGCAAAUCACUUCCCCUCUGGGAAUCUGAGUUUCCACGAGGAUUUGGGGAGAAGCACUAACUGAGAGAAGUACCCAACACAGAACAGGGGCUCAGUAGAUGGAAACGUUUUCUGUUAUAUCCAUCCCCACCCCGAUUGAGAAUUUGGGGUAAAAUCUGGUUCCCUGGGAAGCCAUUUCUCAAUCCUCUUUCUCUGCAAGAAGCAGACUUCCAAGUCCAAGCAGAGGGCUUGAGAGACUUCCCCCUUCUACUUAAUUCUACCGAAUUCUAUUUAAAUGAAGCAUCCUCCUUCAAGCAGGAAACUCAAACCACUUCCUCCUGCUAGAGUUCUUUGCAAUGUCCCCUUUUCUUAACAUCUGGCCAGAUGCCCAACUGCAAGGAGCCUGAAGCCUUUGGUUUGGGGACGGCUCUGUGGCACUUUUCCCUGGUUCCUGAGCUGACUCGGGCCAGCGGGUCUGGCCUGAGAAGCCCAAGUCUGCAACCCAGAGCUCCUGCCAUGGCACUCCCGAGGCUUUCUUCUCAUUGGCAUCCUCCAGUCUGCCAGGCAGCCUGCUGCCAAGAUGGCAAGCCACACUCCAGGGACUUUUGUCACUCCCAGUAUCUUGUCCCUGGAUGCCUUUCUCCACUCCACCAGCCAUGUCUUUGCUGCAGCUCAUUCUCAUGAGGACGAGGGACAUCCUGAGAUCACAGAUUGGGCACUGGACCGAGAGUGGGGAGACCUCGGCUCUGCCAGCAACACAUGCAGCUGGGAUGUCACUAAGCUCCCACUUUCUCAGAUGCAGAAUAAUGGGGGCUGACCCAGAUCAGCCCGAGGGGUCUCCUAAACAGCAGUCCAUGCACCCCCUCAUCCUACACUCUUUCUGUGAAGGUCCCAGCGCCCUGUUCAUUUGAGCAAAAAGUUUAAAAUUCAGGACUCCUCUUGAGUACCAGCUGCAGACUGGGCCCUAUGUCAGGGCCUAAAGAUCUUUAAAUGAACAACAACGCCCUGCUCUGAAGGAGUUCCCAGAUGAGAAACAGGGACAUGUAAAGAUGACAAGAAAGGGGCUGAUGCUAGAAACGAGCACAGAGCCGACAGCCACUGCCCCCUUAGAGCCUCGUCCCAGAGGAGCAACCACACUGAGUCCUGAGGAUGAAGUUGGAGAGCCCUGAGUUCAGAGGAGGUGAGGGAAGGAGAGUCUAAGAAGAAGGAACGGCAUGCGCAAAGCCAGGUCAGAGGUUUGGAAUUAAUCCCACGUGGCCACUGUGCCAUGGUCAUACCACAAGCAGCAGAAGGGUCCAGCAAAGAGGAUGGGACAUGUGCUGGAGGUCCUGGGCCUCAGCCCUCCCCAUGCAGAAGGAGACCCAUCUGUCUGAUGGCGGCUCGUGGAGGUUUCCAGGGCAAUCUGAUGUGGAGGCACUCACCAAACCCAGGAAGCAGGAGCGACUUCCGGGCACCAGCUCCCAGCCCAGCGCCAGCCCGGGGCUCUAGGCGUUUCCCUGCAGAGUCUCCGACUGAGACUUGAAGAAAACAGUCUUAAAAGUCAGACAAAUAUUUAGAGUUUUACAAACUCAGUCUACAAAUCGGGAGGAAUUGGGAAACUCGCUUGUCAGAUGUGCGGUCUGUUCUCUACAAUCCAAAGCGGGCUUGGUUUCCGGGAGGGCGAUGACACUCCUGCCUGCUCACUGCUACGGUGGGACCACGUCUGAAGAGGCGGUGUUUCACGUUAAGGCGACGGAAUUUAAUGAAACAAAGGAGAAAAAGUGGCAUCAAUUUGGUGUUAGGUGAGAAUCAAAAGAAAUAUAUUGCUGAAUUGACUAGAGUUGUUCCAGCCUUAACUGCUGUCCAAGGGAAAAGUGACAUUUCCCAUCUCCUGGUCCCCUUUGCUAGCCCCAUACUUUCACCCUAAUAUAUUCAUUCCGAAAAAAUCAGAGCUUGCUCAGCAAAAGGAAGAUGGAGUCCCUGUAUCUUUCAUCCCUGCCUUCCCCAUGAGAAGGGAACUGGCAUUUCCUGAGGACCUGCUCUGGGCCCGUGCUUUAUCUACACUGGACUUUCAUCUAAUGCCUAACCCUCCAAGGAGCCCACGAUUUUCUCCAAGGCUGAAGCAACCAAGGCUAGAGAGGUUAGAUGAACUUGUUAAGGUCAUGUAGCUCAUGAAAUAUUGUGUGUGACUGACCGAGUUAGGAUUCUGAUCCCCAUUCUUUUCUGACACUAGAGCCCCACGCCCUGUCCACCUGCCCCACUGCCUUCCUAUAAUCCACAGAUUUGCUUCAAGGAGUGGCUGUCUAAGCGUAGUAUCUAUAAAUGAAGGGCUUUCAAAGCAAUGGAAUGGUAUAAGCCCCAUUUAAACAUUCAUUCAUUCAUUCAACAAAUAAUUACUUGAUGCUGUGAUGUGCCAGGUAUUUCCAGCCAAAUAGGCGAACCCCUGCCCUUGCGUAAUUCACAUCCUAUGAGAGGGACAGUGUGAUGGGCGUGAGCAAGGACUUGGGAGCCAGACUCCUGGGACCACAUCUUAACUCAGCCACUUGUGAGCUGUGUGACCUUCAACACAUUACCUAACCUCUCUGUGUCUCAGUUUCCUCAUCUGUAUAGAGGGGCAAAUAAUACCACCUCCGUUUAAAGUUGUUAUGAGGUCUGAAUGAGCUGAUAUUUGUCGAGCAUUUACAAAUGAGUAUCAUUAAAUAAAUAGUAAGGGAACGUAGGUAAUAACAAAGUAAGUAGAUAUAUAGUGUAUUGCAAGAUGCGGAGUGUGAAGGUGGACAAUGAAUCAGGGGAUAGGGAUCGAGCAUGUUGGUGGGGGGUCUGCCUGUUAGUUAGGGUGGCCAGGGAAGGCCGCACUGAGAAGGUGUCAUUUGAACAAAGACCAGAAAGUCAGUGAGCCAACAGGAGCUGCAUAUAAGCCUUUCCCUGGUGGUUUGGAAGAUGCCAGAGGCAUCUGGGGCCCUGCUCCAACUCUUAAUUAUGAACACCAAUUCCCUGAGAUGAUCAAUUUAGGGAUACGGUUAACAAAUUGCAUCCUUACAUUGUGAUGUGAUAUAAAUCAUCAGUGUGUUGGUAAAAGGCUCAUUCUCUCAGGUGGUCUCAGAAACCAGCGAAAAGGCCUUAUGCCGUAAGGGAUAAGGUUAUUUCUGGACUAUUCCUUUAUUAUAAGAACAAAAUUACAUGGUACAUUCACAGUCCUUAUCUCACAGAUAAAGUUUGCCUAGCUGGCUCCAGGGACCCAUACACAAUGUGCACAUGUCCUGACCUUGACUUUUUCUCGGACCACACCUGCCCGAGAUCCUUCGGUCUUGGGACUGGGGUGGGCGCCCGGACGGCACUGUUCAACCAUCCCUGAGUGAAAAGGAUCCAGGCCAGCCACAUGCCUGCUCUCCUGACCACACAAGGAGUGCCGCUUCAAAGGCUUUUUAGAUGCCAGAAUAGUCAAAGAAUAAUUUUAUUUUGGUGUAUUCCCCAUAUGCUGAGAAUCAUCUUUUUUAUGCUUCCAAGGCCUAGAAAUUAGGGACGUGGUUAAAAAUUUCAUCCUUAAUAUUGUGAUGUGAAAUAAAGAACGCUGGCCUGGGAGGGUGGGGCAAGGGUCCACCUCCCGGCUCCAGCAUGGACUCCCAUGUGUCUGUGGACAUCACAGCUGGUCUCUGGUUCUCGUCUCUUUGUCUAUAAAAUGAGGAGAUAAGGGGGAAAAUACACGCACACACACACACACCCUGCUCUUUCUUUAUUUCUUGCCUGUUCUGGACCAGGCGUAUGAUGCAUAUUGUCUCAUUUUAAAAUCACAACAAUCCUAAGUCAGUGUCCUUGUUACACUGCAGGUAUAACGUCACGUAGGGGGAAGAGGCUGAGCGAGAUUGGAGCCCUGACCUGACUCCAGCUAUGAAGCUGGAAUCACUGAGGCCCUCUGAGAAUCUUUCCAAGACUUGGACUCUGAUCCAGAGACUGUACGCGCUAUUCAGUCUUGCUUUCUGGGGAAGGCAUCCCAUCCCCUUGCCUACUCCUUUUCUGCAGCUUGAGUUGUAAGUAAUCUCUCUUUUCCUCCAGUGUCCAUCUCAUGGGUUUUGGCCCAGCUAUGAAGACCCUCUGGCAAAAGGAAAACAGCAUAGAUUGGCAAGCAAGUGACAGAAGUGGCCCGAGGCAAUCCUCCGCUUCAUCCUCUUGCCCCUGGAGGCAGAUCAGGCUAAACACAGAAGCAGGGCUUCAAAGGAGGGGCCUGGAUCCUCCCCACAGUGACUCACUGGGCUCCAGAGGAAGCCGGGGUCUCCCGGGAUCAGUAGUCGGCCUUGAGGUGGUUCUCUGGAAGCCCUCUCCCACGGCGAUGAGAGCAAAGAGAGGCCGUGUGGUCUCAGGGAGAGACCCCGCGUGUAGCACAGCCUCUAAUUCUCUGCGUGACCUCGGGCAAGCUACCUCCUCAGUUCUUACAAAGAGGGUGUUGGAGCUGUAGGGUGAGCAAGCAGCUUACAGUUUGGGAAUGAGGCAGAUGGAGUCUGGAUCCCAGUCCUGCCACUCAUCAGGGAAUGUGAGCUGUCACCUUUCCACCAAGGCACUCAGCAUCUAAUCGAGAGCUCCUGGCUCUGCACUUGCAGCCUCCCCAGGGGGCAGCCUGGGUCAAUUACCGCCUCUGGGCCUCAGCUCCCUCCUCUGUCGAGUGCACAGCAGAACACAGGCAGUGUGAACACUGGAGGUCACGGACAACAAGUGUCUGCUCCGGAGCAGGCCUUCGGGAGCUGUUAGGUCCAACUCCCUGCCCCUCCGCUAGCCUCGACUGGACCGUCGACGCAGCGCUUCAGGACGUGCCCCAGCCCACGCCACUGCAGAGCAGGUCUGUUCCGAACCAGACCACAGCCAGAGAUGGGUCUCCAAAUCCCGCCUCCAGAGCCUGACUUACCCACGACUGGCAUCGGAGGCCCACAGCCUGGAGUGGAGCAGGCCUGCACCGCACGCACACUCCACAGAGAGAUGACGUGGACAGGACAGGGCAAUUCAACACUGCCAUGGCCCAGGGAACCCAGGCCUCCUCUCCUAAAAGGCAGGAAUCAGACGCACUGAGUCCAGGAACGGGUGGCUUCCCCAGGUCAGCAGCCGAUCUGAGGCUUUUGCAUAUUCAGACAGGAGGGAGGAAGAGGGUUCCCUCACCCCUCUCUGUGCACCUUUUUCCUUUUUAUACCUGCCUCAGGCAGAGAAAAGCAGAAAGGAGUUCAGAAAGUCGUGCCUGCCAUUGCUAACAUUUUCAUUUUCAUUUGAGACCCAGACAAUCAAAGAAGAAACAGAAGCUUAUCAGAUGUCUCCUGCUGCUGGGCUGAGCCACACCAGUGCCUGCGGUGUGGGAACUGAGGCUCACGGUCUAAGUGAGAAUUGCCAGAGGUCAUGCAAGUGAGUUCGAAUCUCAAACCACAUCCACCAGAGGGCAAAGCCCAGGCUUCUGCGCUCUGUGUCAUUUCUUUCAAUCCCACCGUCCCACAUUCAUACCUUCGCCAAGUCUCGUUAAGUCCUGCCAUGUGUCAGACACUGUUCUGGGCUGGGGACACAGCAGCUAUCCAGACAAGGACCCUGCCCUCGAGGAGCUCCCACGCCAGUGGAGGGGCAUCUGAACAAACGCCCGUGGCAAUUUUGGAUAAACUGAGUGCUAUGAAAAAAAUAAAAUAAUGGGAAUGAGAGUGACUAUUGUGGGCGUGGAGAGGGGAGAGGGCAGGACGUGUUUCCCUCGGGUGCUUAGGGAAAGGCCCCCGGAAGAAGGGAUGUUUGAGUGAGCCUUGAAUGAUGAGAAGGCAAACACGGGGAGAUGGGGGGAGACAUCCCGCAGGCAGAAGGAAGAGCAGAGGUCCUGGGCUGGGCACCAGCUUGUGCGUUCAAGGGUCCGAAAGAGGCCAGAGAGGCUAAAACAGAGGGAGCCACGGGCAUACACAGUAGGAGAUGAGGUCAGGAGCACGGAGAAGGGCCAGUUCACGGGGUGCAGAGACCGCAGUUAGUCCUGUGUGAAGAGGGUCUUAGGACGGAAUGUGGAGUGAGUAAACUGUCCGCAUUAGAAGGGCAGCCUCCCUGCAAGAGCCAGCCUUGCACGAAGGGAACAUCCCCACUGGGCCUCUUCCCAACUGUGUGGCUGUGGGCAAGCGCCUUACCCUCUCUGGACCUUGGCCUCCUCCCGUGUAAAGCGGAGAUUAUAACACCUGCCUCACAGACCAGGGGUGAGGAUUCGACACCGUGGACUG